RNAcentral lists this non-coding RNA (225 nucleotides) under Pontibacillus yanchengensis. RNAcentral describes it as "T-box sequence". It matches the Rfam family "T-box leader". From Rfam's summary of the family: Uncharged tRNA acts as the effector for transcription antitermination of genes in the T-box leader family. T-boxes are found upstream of many aminoacyl-tRNA synthetase genes and some amino acid biosynthetic genes usually in Gram-positive bacteria. The anticodon of a specific tRNA base pairs to a specifier sequence within the T-box motif, and the NCCA acceptor tail of the tRNA base pairs to a conserved bulge in the T-box antiterminator hairpin. Lineage: Bacteria; Bacillati; Bacillota; Bacilli; Caryophanales; Bacillaceae. The record is from RNAcentral.
UCAUAACCAGUGAGGGAAAAAGUAAUUGUGGUAGGCAUGGAUAGAGAGAAAGUGCCAUAGGCUGAAAGCACUUUUUACAUGUACGCUAUAAUGAAAGACAUUCCUUAGGUUCCACAUCGAAGCUUACUAGUAGUAGGUGUUGGACGUUGCAGGCGUUAACUGUUCAAGUGGAAGCUUGUUGUGCUUCAAUUAGGGUGGCAACGCGGGAAAUAUCCCGUCCCUAUU